CCUAGGGGUAGCAGCAGUGGGGAAUAUUGGACAAUGGGCGAAAGCCUGAUCCAGCCAUGCCGCGUGUGUGAAGAAGGCCUUCGGGUUGUAAAGCACUUUCAGUGGGGAAGAAAGCCUUGGGGCUAAUACCCUCGAGGAAGGACAUCACCCACAGAAGAAGCACCGGCUAACUCCGUGCCAGCAGCCGCGGUAAUACGGAGGGUGCGAGCGUUAAUCGGAAUUACUGGGCGUAAAGCGCGCGUAGGCGGUCUGAUAAGCCGGUUGUGAAAGCCCCGGGCUCAACCUGGGAACGGCAUCCGGAACUGUCAGGCUAGAGUGCAGGAGAGGAAGGUAGAAUUCCCGGUGUAGCGGUGAAAUGCGUAGAGAUCGGGAGGAAUACCAGUGGCGAAGGCGGCCUUCUGGACUGACACUGACGCUGAGGUGCGAAAGCGUGGGUAGCAAACAGGAUUAGAUACCCCGGUAGUC
This 465-nucleotide ribosomal RNA is filed under the name Vreelandella stevensii. RNAcentral describes it as "partial 16S ribosomal RNA". It matches the Rfam family "Bacterial small subunit ribosomal RNA", at positions 338 to 795 of the family's 1533-position model. The record is from RNAcentral. Lineage: Bacteria; Pseudomonadati; Pseudomonadota; Gammaproteobacteria; Oceanospirillales; Halomonadaceae.